This 253-nucleotide ribosomal RNA is filed under the name uncultured bacterium. RNAcentral's name for it is "partial 16S ribosomal RNA". It matches the Rfam family "Bacterial small subunit ribosomal RNA", at positions 524 to 776 of the family's 1533-position model. The record is from RNAcentral.
UACGGGGGGAGCAAGCGUUGUUCGGAUUUACUGGGCGUAAAGGGCGCGUAGGCGGCACUGCAAGUCAGUUGUGAAAUCUCCGGGCUUAACCCGGAAAGGUCAACUGAUACUGCAGGGCUAGAGUGCAGAAGGGGCAACUGGAAUUCCAGGUGUAGCGGUGAAAUGCGUAGAUAUCUGGAGGAAUACCGGUGGCGAAGGCGGCAUCCUGGACCGACAUUGACGCUGAUGAGCGAAAGCUAGGGGAGCAAACGGG